This 652-nucleotide long non-coding RNA is filed under the name Marmota monax (woodchuck). The record is from RNAcentral. Lineage: Eukaryota; Metazoa; Chordata; Mammalia; Rodentia; Sciuridae.
GUUUUUAGGAAAAACUGAUCUGUUUUGAUAUCUCUCUGCUUCCUUAACAUUUCAGUUUGAUUAUGCUAUUUUUGAGUGAUUCUGUUUUGGUUUGGUCUGUUGAGGCCUCAUGCAGGAGUUCAAGCCAAACAAUUGGCUUCCCAUAAUUUUGUUUAACAGUCCCUUGUGAAACACACAACUUGAAAAUUCCUCUUGCCUGUCCCUUAGGUUCAUGUCCAGGACAUUUUUUAUUUCUUAGCUCAACUCCCUGCAAUAGUUGAUUUAGUCACUUUCUUAAAAAUUGGCACUUAUAGAAGAGAUUGUAGUUGACUUUGUAUGGAAACUUGUGGAGACACUAAAGCUGAUGAAGUUGUGGAUCAUUUCUGUAUAAUGUUGUUAAUGACUAUGGUAGAUUGGGGGAAAGGAAUUAUAACAGGAACUGAAACUAAAUGUUUUUGCUUGGUAGACUUUUGAAAACUAACUAAACAAAGAUUUGCUUUUAAUUACUGAAACACAGAAAGGUGCUUUUAUGAUCUCCAUAAUAACCUCUAAUAUCUUCCAUAUUCACUUGAAACUAAAAUGGAAGUUCUGGGCUGGGAUUGCACCACAGUUGUAGAGUGCUUGCCUAGCACAGAUGGGGCACUGGGUUCUAUCCUCAGCACCACAUAAAAAU